AUACGAAGGGGGCUAGCGUUGUUCGGAAUUACUGGGCGUAAAGCGCGCGUAGGCGGACUGAUCAGUUGGGGGUGAAAUCCCAGGGCUUAACCCUGGAACUGCCUCCAAUACUGUCAGUCUUGAGUUCGGGAGAGGUGAGUGGAAUUCCUAGUGUAGAGGUGAAAUUCGUAGAUAUUAGGAAGAACACCAGUGGCGAAGGCGGCUCACUGGCCCGAUACUGACGCUGAGGCGCGAAAGCGUGGGGAGCAAGCAGGAUUAGAAACCCCAGUAGUCC
RNAcentral lists this ribosomal RNA (274 nucleotides) under uncultured bacterium. RNAcentral describes it as "partial 16S ribosomal RNA". It matches the Rfam family "Bacterial small subunit ribosomal RNA", at positions 523 to 796 of the family's 1533-position model. The record is from RNAcentral.